RNAcentral lists this ribosomal RNA (567 nucleotides) under uncultured bacterium. RNAcentral describes it as "partial 16S ribosomal RNA". It matches the Rfam family "Bacterial small subunit ribosomal RNA", at positions 355 to 914 of the family's 1533-position model. The record is from RNAcentral.
UGGGGAAUUUUGGACAAUGGGCGAAAGCCUGAUCCAGCAAUGCCGCGUGUGUGAAGAAGGCCUUCGGGUUGUAAAGCACUUUUGUCCGGAAAGAAAUCCUUGGCUCUAAUACAGUCGGGGGAUGACGGUACCGGAAGAAUAAGCACCGGCUAACUACGUGCCAGCAGCCGCGGUAAUACGUAGGGUGCAAGCGUUAAUCGGAAUUACUGGGCGUAAAGCGUGCGCAGGCGGUUUGCUAAGACCGAUGUGAAAUCCCCGGGCUCAACCUGGGAACUGCAUUGGUGACUGGCAGGCUAGAGUAUGGCAGAGGGGGGUAGAAUUCCACGUGUAGCAGUGAAAUGCGUAGAGAUGUGGAGGAAUACCGAUGGCGAAGGCAGCCCCCUGGGCCAAUACUGACGCUCAUGCACGAAAGCGUGGGGAGCAAACAGGAUUAGAUACCCUGGUAGUCCACGCCCUAAACGAUGUCAACUAGUUGUUGGGGAUUCAUUUCCUUAGUAACGUAGCUAACGCGUGAAGUUGACCGCCUGGGGAGUACGGUCGCAAGAUUAAAACUCAAAUGGAAUUGAC